Molecule: unclassified non-coding RNA, 200 nt
Filed under: Cyphellophora sp.
Lineage: Eukaryota; Fungi; Ascomycota; Eurotiomycetes; Chaetothyriales; Cyphellophoraceae
Description: partial internal transcribed spacer 2
Source: RNAcentral
UUAAGUUCAGCGGGUAUUCCUACCUGAUCCGAGGUCAACCUUGUGAAGGUAAUAAUUGUCUCCCUUGCGGAAAGACGGCGACCGGCAGUCUGAAGUUCUAGCCUAGUACGUGCCCGAAAGCUCAGUGUACAGGAGUCCUCGCAGACGCCGUCAUUAUCUUUGAGACGGGCGGAGGCUUAGAGCCGCCGCCGACGUCCAAC